Molecule: ribosomal RNA, 461 nt
Filed under: uncultured bacterium
Lineage: Bacteria
Description: partial 16S ribosomal RNA
Rfam family: Bacterial small subunit ribosomal RNA
Source: RNAcentral
CCUACGGGUGGCAGCAGUGAGGAAUAUUGGUCAAUGGGCGGGAGCCUGAACCAGCCAAGUCGCGUGAGGGAAGACGGUCCUACGGAUUGUAAACCUCUUUUGCCGGGGAGCAACGGGGUCCUUGCGAGGGCCCAAUGAGAGUACCCGGAGAAAAAGCAUCGGCUAACUCCGUGCCAGCAGCCGCGGUAAUACGGAGGAUGCGAGCGUUAUCCGGAUUUAUUGGGUGUAAAGGGAGCGUAGACGGCGCUGCAAGUCCGGAGUGAAAGCCCAUGGCUUAACCAUGGUACUGCUCUGGAAACUGUGGAGCUUGAGUGCGGGAGGGGCAGGCGGAAUUCCUAGUGUAGCGGUGAAAUGCGUAGAUAUUAGGAGGAACACCGGCGGCGAAGGCGGCCUGCUGGACCGUAACUGACGUUGAGGCUCGAAAGCGUGGGGAGCAAACAGGAUUAGAUACCCGAGUAGUC